This is a non-coding RNA of Kogia breviceps (pygmy sperm whale), 2436 nucleotides long. The record is from RefSeq and is a predicted model, not a curated record. NCBI's taxonomy places the organism in Eukaryota, Metazoa, Chordata, Mammalia, Artiodactyla, Physeteridae.
AGGCAUGAAUGCAGUGUGGCUUUUGAUGGCUUCUGGUGGACAGGUAAGUAACGGCUAAAUACAGUGGGAAGAAUGAAAUCUGCUUAGAUGUGGUCUUUAUGUUAAGCCUGUGAUGGUUAAGAGUAGUGGGCAGAAGGUAUUUCUGAAAGAUUGUAUUCUGAGGCUUAACUACUUAACGACAUUAGUGAUUAACUUAGCAGCACAGCAUGUUUUAUUGGAUUAUUCCUUGUCUAUUUUCUAGGUGUGUACCAAAGGGAUGAGAACCGCUGCUGGGGUGAGUUAACUGAAACUCCCUGACAAAGGCAAGUUAGGUUGAAAGUCCACUGAAUGUGCCACAAUGAUGACAGUUAUUUGCUACUCUCGACUGUGAGGGUGACGAGAAUUAUUACCACCAUUAUGCUAACUGAGGCACACAAAAUGGUGCUUUAGAGAACGUAGAGAUUGAACCCAAGUUUAUAUGAAACUGUUUCUUCCCAGGUCUUAAAGCACAAGCUUAAUGCUGUAUCCAUGGGCAAAUGGGCACUAUGCAGGAAGUUAAGCACUAUGUAGGCACUAAGCUGAAAAUUGAAGGGGUGGACUUGAAUCCUUGACCUGUCUGGGCCAACUUUUUGAUCCUGGGUACACGUUUUUAUCCAUGGAUGGCUUGCUUGGGGUAAGACAUGAAAACGAUCCUUUGGCUCCUGGCAUUUGGGUUUAUAUUUUGAAAAUGUGCCGGUCUUAGUAGUUGUUGACCUAUGUUAGUGUUUUCUGGUGUUGGACUGUUGAGAAAUAAACCGGCUUUAGUAUUAAGCUGUUGUGAAGUGUGUCUAAAGAAAUAUUUCUUUGCAGGUGCAAAUUUUGGAGAUCUUUUAUAUAAAGGUAUGUAUGUGUUUUAUCAGCCUUAUGUAGUUACUGAGCAAGAUGCUGUUAGUGAUGAUUUUUUAAAAAAUUAAACAGAUGGGAAUCUCUCUGAAAAAGAAUGAAGAUUUUAAAAUACUGAAACGGUGUCUGGAAAAUUUUUGAAUUCUACCUAUUACCUAUUCAGUUUGAUUAAAUUUCAUUAAAUUUUUGCAGGUGUCAAGAGAGGUUACUGGUUACAACGCAGGGAGCAAGAAGUUUUAAGUAAAGGUAUAGAAGUUUCAAGUUUGGUUUCUGUGAUUGUGGUUUAAAGCCGAUACAAUGAUGAUAACAUAGUUCAGCAGACUAACAGUGAUGAGCAAAUACUGUCUUUCGCUCCUAUCUGAUGUAUCUGGCUGCAACAAUUCUGUUUAUAUACCCUUGAAAGUGGGAACCAGCCACUGUCUCAUAGAAAUAUUCAGGGAUUUGGAUAAGUGUAACGGCUCAUGCAGAUGUUCUGUACUGUUAAUUUCAGGAUUCGGAAUUUACAUUUUGGAUAAGAACAGGCUAACAUGUUGUGAGGACAUUUUUAUGGCAUAUACUGUAGAUUACACCAGAAUGAAUAAUUUAGCUGAUUAUUUUUGAUAGUCAUUUCUCAGAGAACUUUUAGAUUCAUAGCAAAAUUGAACAGUAGGUUACCAUAUAGCAUCCUCCCCAUCAACAUCUACCACCAGAGUGGGACUUAAAAUUUUGAAUCUAUUGUUGAUACAUCUUUUCACCCAGAGUCCAGUAGUACAUUGGGGUUCACUCAUGGUGUUGUACAUUCUCGGUUUGGACAAAUGUAUCGUGACAAAGAUCCACCUACAGAAUAGGUUCACUGCCCUAGAAUUCUUUGAAAAAUAUAAAAAUGGGCUACAAAAAUGGGAGAAAGGGCAAAUUUUAAAAGGGUUUUGUUUUUCAUUUUCAAACAGGCAAAUGUGUUACCCUGAAGACUUCAAGGUCAGUCAGUCUCUGGUAUAUAUGGUGAGUUAGAAUGUAACCAGUGAUGUGAUGAUUCUGCCAAAUGAAUAGAAUGAUAUCACCUGUAAAACCGUUCCAUUUUUAUUCUGAGGUUACUUUAUCAACAAGUAUCACAAGUUUUAUCCCUUCUACUGUGAUUUGACAUAUAUGGUCUUUACUUUUCAGGGCAUUUAUGACAGUAGUCAUGCAUCUUAACAGUUGACAGGUGAGGCUUGAAAAUAUCAGUACUGUUGUCUUGUUCCAGAAUACAUGAUGAUCUCACCCCAACUUGAACUCUCUCACUGAUUACUUGAUGAUGUUCAAAGAUCUGAUAAUUCUGUGUAUCCCAAAUGCAAUUAGAAUUGGCAUGGAAAUGGGACUUAAAAUGGUUUCUCUGUUCUUGCAGGCAGCUGGAUGGAUGGAUGCUCAUGGGAUAGGAGAGGAAACAACUUUCCGUUUUUUUAAAAGCCUAUUUUAUUUAUUGGUCAUGCUGCACAGCAUGUAGGAUCUUAGUUCCCCCACCAGGGAUUGAACCUGUGCCCCCUCUAGUGGAAGCACAGAGCCCUAACCACUGGACCACCAGGGAAUUCUCCAACUUUGAAUUUUAAUAAAUAUUUAUGA